UAGGGAAUAUUGGGCAAUGGAUGCAAGUCUGACCCAGCCAUGCCGCGUGCGGGAAGAAGGCCUUCGGGUUGUAAACCGCUUUUGUCAGGGAAGAAACGAGUUUCUCUAAUACAGAGACUUAAUGACGGUACCUGAAGAAUAAGCACCGGCUAACUACGUGCCAGCAGCCGCGGUAAUACGUAGGGUGCAAGCGUUAAUCGGAAUUACUGGGCGUAAAGCGUGCGCAGGCGGUUAUGUAAGACAGAUGUGAAAUCCCCGGGCUCAACCUGGGAACUGCGUUUGUGACUGCAUAACUAGAGUACGGCAGAGGGAGGUGGAAUUCCGCGUGUAGCAGUGAAAUGCGUAGAUAUGCGGAGGAACACCGACGGCGAAGGCAAUCCCCUGGACCUGUACUGUCGCUCAUGCACGAAAGCGUGGGGAGCAAACA
Molecule: ribosomal RNA, 427 nt
Filed under: uncultured bacterium
Lineage: Bacteria
Description: bacterial SSU rRNA
Rfam family: Bacterial small subunit ribosomal RNA
Source: RNAcentral